This 429-nucleotide ribosomal RNA is filed under the name Gemmatimonadota bacterium. RNAcentral describes it as "Gemmatimonadetes bacterium partial 16S ribosomal RNA". It matches the Rfam family "Bacterial small subunit ribosomal RNA", at positions 355 to 776 of the family's 1533-position model. The record is from RNAcentral. Lineage: Bacteria; Pseudomonadati; Gemmatimonadota.
UAGGGAAUCUUCGGCAAUGGACGAAAGUCUGACCGAGCAACGCCGCGUGAGUGAAGAAGGUUUUCGGAUCGUAAAACUCUGUUGUUAGAGAAGCACAAGGACGUUAGUAACUGAACGUCCCCUGACGGUAUCUAACCAGAAAGCCACGGCUAACUACGUGCCAGCAGCCGCGGUAAUACGUAGGUGGCAAGCGUUGUCCGGAUUUAUUGGGCGUAAAGCGAGCGCAGGCGGUUUCUUAAGUCUGAUGGGAAAGCCCCCGGCUCAACCGGGGAGGGUCAUUGGAAGCUGGGAGACUAGAGUGCAGAAGAGGAGAGUGGAAUUCCAUGUGUAGCGGUGAAAUGCGUAGAUAUAUGGAGGAACACCAGUGGCGAAAGCGGCUCGCUGGACUGCAACUGACGCUGUGGCUAGAAAGCGUGGGGAGCAAACAGG